UAGGGAAUAUUGCAAAAUGGGCGAAAGCCCGAUGCAGCAACGCCGCGUGGGCGAUGAAGGCCUUCGGGUCGUAAAGCCCUUUUUGAGGGGAUGAGGAAGGACAGUACCCUCAGAAUAAGCCUCGGCUAACUACGUGCCAGCAGCCGCGGUAAAACGUAGGAGGCGAGCGUUAUCCGGAUUUACUGGGCGUAAAGCGCGUGCAGGCGGAUUGGAGAGUUGGAUGUGAAAGCUACCGGCUUAACUGGGAGAGGUCGUUCAAUACUUCCAGUCUUGAGUGCAGUAGAGGGAAGUGGAAUUCCGGGUGUAGUGGUGAAAUGCGUAGAUAUCCGGAGGAACACCAGUGGCGAAAGCGGCUUCCUGGACUGUAACUGACGCUCAGACGCGAAAGCUAGGGUAGCAAACG
Molecule: ribosomal RNA, 403 nt
Filed under: uncultured bacterium
Lineage: Bacteria
Description: bacterial SSU rRNA
Rfam family: Bacterial small subunit ribosomal RNA
Source: RNAcentral